RNAcentral lists this ribosomal RNA (1016 nucleotides) under Escherichia coli. RNAcentral describes it as "bacterial SSU rRNA". The stretch from base 212 to 1016 matches the Rfam family "Bacterial small subunit ribosomal RNA", at positions 1 to 1335 of the family's 1533-position model. Lineage: Bacteria; Pseudomonadati; Pseudomonadota; Gammaproteobacteria; Enterobacterales; Enterobacteriaceae. The record is from RNAcentral.
GGCGGCGACAGUUACCGUCACCUUCCGGCAAAGACUGUCCGCCCGGCCAGCAGAUAACGCCACGAGUGACUGAGUUCGGGCGCGGGUCUUCCGGCAGAUUCGCACUGCGCGACAGUAAGAUAUUAUUGACCUGAUUCAACAAUGCUGUUUACCACUGCUCUUGACGUUGAUCUGACUCCUGCCAGUGGCUUCACUUCUGACAGCAAACGUCAGUUUGCAAGUGUUGGUGCUGAAUUUAACGCAUGGAAAUGGGCGCAAUUGCGUGCCGGUUAUCGUCAGAACAUGGCAUCAAAACGCUCAGGUGCGAAAGCGUGGGGAGCAAACAGGAUUAGAUACCCUGGUAGUCCACGCCGUAAACGAUGUCGACUUGGAGGUUGUGCCCUUGAGGCGUGGCUUCCGGAGCUAACGCGUUAAGUCGACCGCCUGGGGAGUACGGCCGCAAGGUUAAAACUCAAAUGAAUUGACGGGGGCCCGCACAAGCGGUGGAGCAUGUGGUUUAAUUCGAUGCAACGCGAAGAACCUUACCUGGUCUUGACAUCCACGGAAGUUUUCAGAGAUGAGAAUGUGCCUUCGGGAACCGUGAGACAGGUGCUGCAUGGCUGUCGUCAGCUCGUGUUGUGAAAUGUUGGGUUAAGUCCCGCAACGAGCGCAACCCUUAUCCUUUGUUGCCAGCGGUCCGGCCGGGAACUCAAAGGAGACUGCCAGUGAUAAACUGGAGGAAGGUGGGGAUGACGUCAAGUCAUCAUGGCCCUUACGACCAGGGCUACACACGUGCUACAAUGGCGCAUACAAAGAGAAGCGACCUCGCGAGAGCAAGCGGACCUCAUAAAGUGCGCUACGACCGGUUGCAACACCUUUGAUUUUGUCUACCACGUCCAUGCCUUCAACCACUUCAGCAAACACGCAGUAGCCCCAACCUUGCAGGCUUUCGCCAGAGAAGUUCAGGAAGUCGUUAUCAACCACGUUGAUGAAGAACUGUGCAGUUGCAGAGUGCGGAGCCUGAGUACGGGCCAUUG